Long non-coding RNA from Belonocnema kinseyi, 235 nucleotides. RefSeq lists it as uncharacterized. The transcript has 3 exons. Lineage: Eukaryota; Metazoa; Arthropoda; Insecta; Hymenoptera; Cynipidae. The record is from RefSeq and is a predicted model, not a curated record.
CCUCCGACACAUCUUCAAGUGAAAAUGCUCCACAAAAUAUAAAAAAGAAAUGAAUCGAAAGGAAAAAAAGUGGAGGAACGUGGGGCAAAAAUAGAUCUUUUAGCAAAGAAACUUUCCGAAAUAAAUCAAAGUAAAGCAAAUGUUUCCAGUGUAUCAGAACAAAAAUCUCCUGCUUCAAGGUCGACUGUGAGAAAAAAUGAGAACAAAAAGAUAAACAAAUACAAUGCUUCUGACC